Molecule: transfer RNA, 64 nt
Filed under: Acropora cervicornis
Lineage: Eukaryota; Metazoa; Cnidaria; Anthozoa; Scleractinia; Acroporidae
Description: tRNA-Ser
Source: RNAcentral
GCCUUCAGAGGUCAGCUGGUUAGAGCACUGCAACUGGUCAAGGGUUCGAAUCCCGUUGAAGACA